AUAUAACACUUUUAGAAAAAGGAUUUAGUAAGUUUUACCCUUAUCACAACGACCUUUUCUUCGUUAUUUCUACUCCAUACAAUGGGACAAAAAUUCACGACAGCGGUUAGUAGUAUGGCGGAAGUCGUUUAUGAUCUGAACUGGUAUGAAGCAGAUAUGUCAACACGGAAAGAUAUUGUAAACUUAUUGUGUUUUACACAAAAGGGGUUCGCUAUUGAAUUACCUAUAUUCGGUGAAAUGUCGCAUGCAGCAGUAGCAAAAGAAUACAAGAAAGUUUACCUUUUUUAUAAUUAAGUCUUACACGAGACAGAUACGUUUAGA
Onthophagus taurus is the source of this 321-nucleotide long non-coding RNA. RefSeq lists it as uncharacterized. The record is from RefSeq and is a predicted model, not a curated record. NCBI's taxonomy places the organism in Eukaryota, Metazoa, Arthropoda, Insecta, Coleoptera, Scarabaeidae.